RNAcentral lists this ribosomal RNA (1498 nucleotides) under metagenome. Its description in RNAcentral is "bacterial LSU rRNA". It matches the Rfam family "Bacterial large subunit ribosomal RNA", at positions 1283 to 2909 of the family's 2925-position model. The record is from RNAcentral.
CGGAAGCGAGAAUGUUGACAUGAGUAGCGACAAACAGGGUGAGAGACCCUGUCGCCGAAAGUCCAAGGGUUCCUGCUUAAAGCUAAUCUGAGCAGGGUAAGCCGGCCCCUAAGGCGAGGCCGAAAGGCGUAGUCGAUGGGAACCAGGUUAAUAUUCCUGGGCCAGGAUGAUGUGACGGAUCUCGACGGUAGUUUGCCCUUAUCGGAUUGGGUGAGCUGCUUAGAGGUUCCUGGAAAUAGCCCUCCACAAGACCGUACCCCAAACCGACACAGGUGGACUGGUAGAGAAUACCAAGGCGCUUGAGAGAACCACAUCAAAGGAACUCGGCAAAAUGCUCCCGUAAGUUCGCGAGAAGGGAGCCCCGUCUGUAGGCAACUAUGGGCGGGGGGCACAAACCAGGGGGUGGCGACUGUUUACUUAAAACGCAGGGCUGUGCGAAGCCGUAAGGCGACGUAUACAGUCUGACGCCUGCCCGGUGCUGGAAGGUUAAAAGGAGGGGUGCAAGCUCUGAAUUGAAGCCCCAGUAAACGGCGGCCGUAACGAUAACGGUCCUAAGGUAGCGAAAUUCCUUGUCGGGUAAGUUCCGACCUGCACGAAUGGCGUAACGAUCUCCCCGCUGUCUCUGAUGUGGACUCAGCGAAAUUGAACUGUGUGUCAAGAUGCACACUUCCCGCGGUUAGACGGAAAGACCCCAUGAACCUUUACUCCAGCUUUGCACUGGCAUCAGGGUUGUGAUGUGCAGGAUAGGUGGUAGGCAUCGAAGCAGAGACGCCAGUUUCUGUGGAGCCUCCCUUGAGAUACCACCCUUCGCACUCUUGAUGUCUAACCGCGGCCCGUUAUCCGGGUCCGGGACCAUGCAUGGUGGGGAGUUUGACUGGGGCGGUCGCCUCCCAAACAGUAACGGAGGCGCGCGAAGGUUGGCUCAGAGCGGUCGGAAAUCGCUCGUUGAGUGCAAUGGCAGAAGCCAGCCUGACUGCAAGACUGACAAGUCGAGCAGAGACGAAAGUCGGCCAUAGUGAUCCGGUGGUCCCAAGUGGGAGGGCCAUCGCUCAACGGAUAAAAGGUACUCUGGGGAUAACAGGCUGAUGAUGCCCAAGAGUCCAUAUCGACGGCAUCGUUUGGCACCUCGAUGUCGGCUCAUCUCAUCCUGGGGCUGGAGCAGGUCCCAAGGGUAUGGCUGUUCGCCAUUUAAAGAGGUACGUGAGCUAGGUUUAGAACGUCGUGAGACAGUUCGGUCCCCAUCUGCCGUGGGUGUAGGAGACUUGAGAAGAGUUGCCCCUAGUACGAGAGGACCGGGGUGAACGUUCCACUGGUGGACCAGUUGUCGUGCCAACGGCAGUGCUGGGUAGCUAUGAACGGACAGGAUAACCGCUGAAGGCAUCUAAGCGGGAAGCCCCCUUCAAAACAAGGUCUCCCUUGAGAGCCGUGGAAGACCACCACGUCGAUAGGCCAGAGGUGUAAGUGCAGCAAUGCAUUCAGCUGACUGGUACUAAUUGCU